Molecule: ribosomal RNA, 214 nt
Filed under: Mictis profana
Lineage: Eukaryota; Metazoa; Arthropoda; Insecta; Hemiptera; Coreidae
Description: partial small subunit ribosomal RNA
Rfam family: Eukaryotic small subunit ribosomal RNA
Source: RNAcentral
CGACGUUAGAGGUGAAAUUCUUGGAUCGUCGCAAGACGCACUAGAGCGAAAGCAUUUGCCAAGUAUGUCUUAAUUGAUCAAGAACGAAAGUUAGAGGUUCGAAGGCGAUCAGAUACCGCCCUAGUUCUAACCAUAAACGAUGCCAGCCAGCGAUCCGCCGACGUUCCUCCGAUGACUCGGCGGGGAGCUUCCCCCGGGAAACCAAAGCUUUUGG